UACAGAGGGUGCGAGCGUUAAUCGGAUUUACUGGGCGUAAAGCGUGCGUAGGCGGCUUUUUCAGUCGGAUGUGAAAUCCCCGAGCUUAACUUGGGAAUUGCAUUCGAUACUGGGAAGCUAGAGUAUGGGAGAGGAUGGUAGAAUUCCAGGUGUAGCGGUGAAAUGCGUAGAGAUCUGGAGGAAUACCGACGGCGAAGGCAGCCAUCUGGCCUAAUACUGACGCUGAGGUACGAAAGCAUGGGGAGCAAACAGG
This 253-nucleotide ribosomal RNA is filed under the name uncultured bacterium. Its description in RNAcentral is "partial 16S ribosomal RNA". It matches the Rfam family "Bacterial small subunit ribosomal RNA", at positions 524 to 776 of the family's 1533-position model. The record is from RNAcentral.